Molecule: long non-coding RNA, 5554 nt
Organism: Ictalurus punctatus (channel catfish)
Lineage: Eukaryota; Metazoa; Chordata; Actinopteri; Siluriformes; Ictaluridae
Exons: 3
Source: RefSeq, a predicted model, not a curated record
UAGAAUACACUGAAUGUCAGGCCUUACACGGUGGUGUAGUGACAUUGGAGGCAGAGCAGAGAGACAGAGUGGUGAGGCCAUGAGCUGUAAUGGUAUCUUCUGCAGAGCAGAGGGGUAGGGGAUGUCCUCAGUGGAACCACGCAGCGGAGUAAUGACCUCAGCUGAGUAAGGAAGCAGAGCAACCAAAGUGGAGCAGGGAGGGUGGGAGAUGAUUUUACCUAGGUUGUGAGCCCCCUCCUCAAAGAAUUUCCUGAGGGGGCACCUGGCAUUGAGCCAUUUGAGUGGCUCUGACCCAACUUCCCUUCCCCAGUAGUUCCCACAUCAGGCAAUUUUUCUCCCCUCUACAAAGGUAUGACAAAGAGUGGCCUCAAAGUCUGGGUUUAAGCAUCCGGCCUGGCAAGUGCAGGCAAUCCCAGUUAAUCAGCCUGGAGUGUUCUGGGUAACUGAGUUCCCCCACACGGCAACUCUUGCGGUGCACUGCUGCUGUCUUCUGCUGACUGUGCGGGGUGUAGCACAGCCUCUUACACCUCACUUGUGCCUUAAUACGUCUUAAAAUGCUACAAGCAACAUAUGGAGAAAUGAAGCAUUUGUUUUAAUCCUAUGUGCCAUGAUAUGGCAAUGACAAUUCCAUGGAUGCAGCAUUUUCUUUUAGUGAAACACAACACAAGUUUUAAUGCAUUAAAAAGCCCUUUUUGCUGGAAAGAAACAGAAUGGUAAUGGGUAGCUGAUUGGCCUACAGUGAGUGACACAUCAUGUGUAAGUGAGUUCUUAAAAGAGCCGGACACUGCCAGUACCAGCAGUGUGAUCCUGACUCCAGGACAGGAGUCAAAAUGGGAAAGGCACAGCUGCACAAUAGCAUUCCAAAUAGUGAGACCCCUUGCUCACAGAAACAGCACACAGGCCAGUAUACUAUUUCCCAAAGCACCAGCUCAGCCUAAAACGUCUCUUUACGUAAGUGCCUGAUGAAUGUGAAGGUGUCAGGGUUGGACUAAAGUCGGAACAAACUGAACCAGUGGACAGAGAGUAUCACAGCGCGUACUCUCAUUUAAAAAAAAAAAAAACAGACAUGGAAAAGCAUUAAGUAUUAAGUACAUUGGUAGUUGGGCUAUAAUGCAGAAGAGUGACACGGCACUACACACAGCCAGCUGCUAUUCCUGGGACAACACCACCGAUGGACUCUGCAUGGUCAGAUGGGAGAACUAUGCAAUAAUACAUUUUAUUUGUCGCCGCCUUUCAUAACACUCAAGGAUACCUUAUAAGAAAGACAACAUACAAAUAUCACAAAAAUCACCGCAAGCGGUGAUUAUCGGGAACCAAGCACAAACUGCUUGUGUACAGUUAUACGAUUGACCAUGUCUCUUUUCAAAUAUAAUACAAGUCUUUAAGUGUCUCUACAUGGAAGUGUUAUUCUAUGUACUAUAUUACAAUAUACAAAUAAUAUUGUCUUCAUUUUAGUUGGACAGCAAUGCAUUCAGUCAUGUCUAGCAACUUAACAAAUGUUUUCAGUAUUUAGGAUAUAUAAAAAUGAAGGUAUUUUGAAGAUCACAGAUUUCUUUUGCAAACGGAUUAGGCUUAGAUGGUUUUAGACUUUAUUGCACUAGACGGGAGAGUAGUGCGUAGUGUAAGUGCAUAGUGUAAGUGUACAGUACUUCAUUUAGGACACUACUUUAAUAUUUACUCUCCGAAGCGUGUUUUCAGUACAGAAGUAAUGUAAUGAGUAAACGCACCGUGCAGACCAACUAAUCGAAAAUGAGAUUCGUUUCCAACGAUUUUCAGAAUCGAUUAUUAUCGAUUAGUUGUUGCAGCUCUAAAUAUAAUAUAACAUUUGCAAUCACUGUGAUGGAGAAAAUAUGGAAUGCAAAGUGCAAUCUUCUUUAUUGAUCUAUUUGUUUAUAUCCCUAUUCCAUUCAUUUCUACGGUUUAGUCAUCUGGUGGGCGUGGUUGAGUGCGCAGGUGCGUCAUUCAAACCGAGCGAGACAGCUCCUUUCAGGUAAAUUGAGGUACUUCUGUUGGUUGUAUGAAUAAAACACAUCACAAUUCUGAUUAGCAUAGAUUUAUUACAGGUGCAUUAUUAUUAUUAUUAUUAUUAGUAGUAGUAGUAGUAGUAGUAAUUAUUAUUCCUCUAGUUCGCUCUUUCAGUGUAGCGUUUGUACUUCUUACACGUUAAACAAUCUCCAUUAUUGCGUUUUAAACAUGGAUAUGACAGGAUGGAUUCCUCAGCUUGCCUUAAAUUGACUCUUUAUGACAAUGGGAAACAAUUCUCUUACAGUUCCUGUGAAUAAAAGCUAAAGAGUCUCAAACUCUUAUUUAUGAGGCUCAUCAGGGCUCAUACAAGCUUUUAGUCAUUUAAAGUAAUAUCACUUUACUCUUAACUGUUCUUUGUGAGUGGUUUUUAAGAUUGUUUUCACUGUAAACUGUCCUGUGGUAUCUGUCAUUGGUCUCUUUUGUAUUACUGGGUGUCUUGUUUACAUCCAGAACUGUGUGUGUAAGUGUGCACUGUAGGAUCGGUAUAAACCAGCAACAAAUUCCUUGUAUACUCCAGCAUACUUGGCCAGUAAAACUUAUUCUGAUAACUUGGGUUUGGACCUGCAUGAAGUUGCCACCCUCACCCAAUGCAAAAUGUCGGCAAAAUUGUCUCAAUCGUUUGUGCUCCGUUUGUGCCAUAAAAAUUUUCGUUUGUGCUGCUUCGAUUUUGAAGAUAUUUAAAAGAAUAUUCAUAGGUCAUUCUGAGGUCUCUCAGACUCCCCACAUGCUCCUAAUUCACCACAAAUAUUCUCAAUCGUUUGUACUGCUUUUGUUUUUAAAAUAUUAGACAUUGACUUAUAUGCACAAAUCUCCUUGGUGUGAGCACACUUUGAGUCGAAGUGCCGAAGACUUUUUCAAGACAAAUCAUAUCAUCAUUUGUUCAAUAAACAAUUCUCUUUACUUCAUUCACUGGUCUCUCAAUAUUGAACUUUUCAUUUAUUUACAAGGAGAAUCAUGUUACACUUCACUCCCACCACUAGGUGUCAGGGACACUUCUGUUCUCGAUGCUCUAGUGGAAAUUAGUGUUAGUAUAGGGAAAGUCGAUAUAGUUACUAAAUCAAAAUUCUGGCCAGUGUAAGUACAAUGUUUUAACACUGUCAGUUACAAUAAUAUUAGUUAACUUCAAUCAUAAUGGUAAAACAUUCAAGAGAGCUAAGAUUGUCAAUGUUUAUUGAACAGAAAUCUCACUGCUAAUACUAAUAUGGCUAAUGUAGCUAUGAAAUGCUAAUUACCGCUGCACAUGGUACCCAUGUUAGUUUUUUUAAUACAUUGUGCAUCUAAGGGUCCACAUUACCAUAUUGGUCCUAAUAUAAGAUAUAAUAUCCUUAUACAUUAUUACUAGAUUAUAUUUUCCUUGUAUUUUGGCAAAUACAGUCAUACAUGAAAACAUGUUUAUACUGUACAUGACAUUUUUUGCAUCAGGAUUAUUUCAGUGGGUAAUUAUGUUUUGCUUAUGCCAGAUGCCCAAGAAACCAGCAGUGGACAGGGAUUCCAUUUUCACAGUCCUCCCUUCAUCAAAAGAGGCCAUAGUCCAAAAUGUCAACAUAGCUACUCCUAAUCAGAGCAUCUGGACAGAGCUUAGUGAGCAGCUAGAAAACAAGAUCACUGCAAAGGCUCUAUAUACUUUUGUUAAAUUGAACAGACAACAUCUGGACUGCUUUAGGGUUUAUUUAUGAAAGUGAUCAUGAAACAAGUGGCAGUAAUGAUGACACUCAUUUUGAGCCAGGUCCCUGCACAUUUGUCUUUAAAAGAGCCAAGGUCUAUCCAUCAGCCGCAGAUAAAUUCAUAGAAAUCAGAGGCAACUGUGAGGAAUGUCAUGGCCACAUUCACAUAAAAUGUGACGGAGAGCCUGAAAUGAACAGCCCAGUGGUGCUCAAGUGCUGAAUUAAAAACACUGACUCCCUGCACACUGGCUGUUCGAAGCAUGCGAUGUCUGGUAACUUGCCUGUGCAGAUAGUCAAAGAACUGUGUGAGGAAAGAAUGGAACCCUGUUUAUGACAACGUGGCAAUUUUUCGGAGCACACUUGGUAGUGUGCGGAAGCAUCGGCACGUCCCUAAUAGCAAGUGCACACAGCUGAAACAUUCUGUACUAUUUUAACAUGUUAUUUAUUCCACCGUGGCAGUUGUUCAGAGCACAUUUGUAAGCAUGCGAAAGUAUCGGAACGUCCUUAAAUAGCAAGAGAACACAGCUGAAACAUUGUAAUUUAAGUAUGUAAUUUAUUCCACCAUAGUAGCUAUUAAGGGCACAUUUUUAAGCGUUUAAACGUCCCUAAUAGGCAGAGCAUGCCGUUUUUUUGCUGCAGGAUGGUUCCUACUAGGUCUGCUAAUGGGACCGCCCUCCUGACUGGCUGCCUAUAAAGUCACCCGCUCUAGCGGUGCUGAGCAGCGAGAUGUCACAGAGAAGAGUGUGUCCAGUUUGUCGGCGUUUCUACACCAACGUGCAGGCUCAUCUCGCCCAGAUUCAUCAGCAGGGUCCAGAGGAACGCUGGCUUCACCUGGCGGCAGCGAGCGAGCGGGUGAUAUGCGGGUGCUCUGGACUGCCCGGUGUCUGCAUGCGGCAGGAAAGGUUUCCGCCGGCUAGACUGCCACCUGUUCCACCUUCACCAGCUCGCCGGGGACACGGUCAGGAAGCUACUGCUCAGCGCCAAAAUAAAGCUGCAACAACUGCAAGCUUUCGGUGAGACGAACAAAUCUAAAAGUUGCAAAUGUUCUGAACUGAUCGAAAAGUAGCAAAACUCUCCGCAGAAUUUGAGCGGCUGCAAGCGCUAGUAGCCCGGAAAGAGUAGUGGCUCUGUGGAGCCAAUGUUAAGUGUACACGGCUUGGCUGACAAGUCUCAGAGAUGUCCCCAAAGCCGCGGCCAACGGCAAGCAGGAGAGGAGACACGUCGAGCGCUUCCUUCACUUUAUGUGGGCCAACACAGACAGUCCCCUGGCAGCUGCUGGCUCAUUACCCAAAAACACUUAAAAUUUAACAUAGAAGCCAAUACUCACAUCAACCUCUGAACCCAGUUGGAGAUAGAAAAAAAGACACCAGCCGUGAGUGAGAAGAAGCAAGGGUCCAGCUUUAUUGUUCCGUUCCACCACACGAGAUCCACACCAAUGAGAAUUCUCAGAAGUGAUCUGAUACCCUGAGCUUAAGCUCCAGUAUUUAUACUGUAAUUACACAGUAAAUAACCCAUAUGUUUCAAGAAGACUAUGAUCUCACUACCAAUAGGGUUAAAAAAGAGCUAUUCAACUUACCAUUAGCUCAAAAAACAGGGCUUUUCAACUUACAAAUAUAAUCAAAACCAGUAGCUUGACUCAGCUACCCUUAUAAAUGGCUCCUCAUGGUUUUCUCUUAAAAUUAAGGCCUUCCUUGCGAGACAAGAAUCUUCACCAUCUGAAUUAUGAGUGCCCAUCGUCAUUCCUUCUUCUCCCCUUUACUGGAUCUGGAUCUGGACACUCAUUAUCAGCUUGCGCAUCUAACUGCUGAUAUCAUGGUGCUACUUAACUAUCUUCGCAGCACCCCCUCUGGAAAUGGAAAUGCGGG